GAUGAACGCUGGCGGCGUGCCUAAUACAUGCAAGUCGAGCGAACGGACGAGAAGCUUGCUUCUCUGAUGUUAGCGGCGGACGGGUGAGUAACACGUGGAUAACCUACCUAUAAGACUGGGAUAACUUCGGGAAACCGGAGCUAAUACCGGAUGAUAUUUUGAACCGCAUGGUUCAAAAGUGAAAGACGGUCUUGCUGUCACUUAUAGAUGGAUCCGCGCUGCAUUAGCUAGUUGGUAAGGUAACGGCUUACCAAGGCAACGAUGCAUAGCCGACCUGAGAGGGUGAUCGGCCACACUGGAACUGAGACACGGUCCAGACUCCUACGGGAGGCAGCAGUAGGGAAUCUUCCGCAAUGGGCGAAAGCCUGACGGAGCAACGCCGCGUGAGUGAUGAAGGUCUUCGGAUCGUAAAACUCUGUUAUUAGGGAAGAACAUAUGUGUGAGUAACUGUGCACAUCUUGACGGUACCUAAUCAGAAAGCCACGGCUAACUACGUG
Molecule: ribosomal RNA, 497 nt
Filed under: uncultured bacterium
Lineage: Bacteria
Description: partial 16S ribosomal RNA
Rfam family: Bacterial small subunit ribosomal RNA
Source: RNAcentral